This 253-nucleotide ribosomal RNA is filed under the name uncultured bacterium. Its description in RNAcentral is "partial 16S ribosomal RNA". It matches the Rfam family "Bacterial small subunit ribosomal RNA", at positions 524 to 776 of the family's 1533-position model. The record is from RNAcentral.
UCCAGAGGUCUCAAGCGUUGCUCGGAUUCAUUGGGCGUAAAGGGUGCGUAGGCGGCGCGGUAAGUCGGGUGUGAAAUCUCGGGGCUUAACUCCGAAACUGCAUUCGAUACUGCCGUGCUUGAGGACUGGAGAGGAGACUGGAAUUUACGGUGUAGCAGUGAAAUGCGUAGAUAUCGAGAGGAACACCUGCGGCGAAGGCGGGUUGCUGGGCCGACACUGACGCUGAUGCGCGAAAGCCAGGGGAGCGAACGGG